RNAcentral lists this long non-coding RNA (264 nucleotides) under Lathyrus oleraceus (garden pea). Its description in RNAcentral is "Pisum sativum (pea) long non-coding RNA (PSAT_LNC000754)". The record is from RNAcentral. Lineage: Eukaryota; Viridiplantae; Streptophyta; Magnoliopsida; Fabales; Fabaceae.
AGAAAACGGUGAUGGAAGGCGUAUGGUGGUCGGUGGAGUUAACGGUGAGCAUUGAUUUGGUGUGUGGCGGCGGCUCACGAUGAAGGUUGGAAGUUGUUGGAGGAAGGGUCGACGUGGAAACGGUUGUGAGUGUGUGCGCCAGAGGGUGAUGAAGCGAGAGUUCAGGUGGUGAGAAAAGUGGGUUUUUAUUAUUUUCUUUUUGUUAAUGUCCAGAGAGGGAGUCUGAGGAGAGAGGUAUCGUUGUAUACCUUUUUUUCUCCUUUU